CCUACGGGAGGCUGCAGUGAGGAAUAUUGGUCAAUGGACGAGAGUCUGAACCAGCCAAGUAGCGUGAAGGAUGACUGCCCUAUGGGUUGUAAACUUCUUUUAUAAAGGAAUAAAACGAGGCACGUGUGCCUUUUUGCAUGUACUUUAUGAAUAAGGAUCGGCUAACUCCGUGCCAGCAGCCGCGGUAAUACGGAGGAUCCGAGCGUUAUCCGGAUUUAUUGGGUUUAAAGGGAGCGUAGAUGGGUUGUUAAGUCAGUUGUGAAAGUUUGCGGCUCAACCGUAAAAUUGCAAUUGAUACUGGCAGUCUUGAGUACAGUUGAGGUAGGCGGAAUUCGUGGUGUAGCGGUGAAAUGCUUAGAGAUCACGCAGAACCCCGAUUGCGAAGGCAGCUUACCAAACUGUGACUGACAUUGAUGCACGAAAGUGUGGGUAUCAAACAGGAUUAGAUACCCUUGUAGUC
Molecule: ribosomal RNA, 460 nt
Filed under: uncultured bacterium
Lineage: Bacteria
Description: partial 16S ribosomal RNA
Rfam family: Bacterial small subunit ribosomal RNA
Source: RNAcentral